Molecule: ribosomal RNA, 492 nt
Filed under: uncultured bacterium
Lineage: Bacteria
Description: partial 16S ribosomal RNA
Rfam family: Bacterial small subunit ribosomal RNA
Source: RNAcentral
GAUGAACGCUUGCUACAGGCUUAACACAUGCAAGUCGAGGGGAAACGACAUCGAAAGCUUGCUUUUGAUGGGCGUCGACCGGCGCACGGGUGAGUAACGCGUAUCCAACCUGCCCAUCACUUGGGAAUAACCUUGCGAAAGUAAGACUAAUACCCAAUGAUAUCCCACGAAGGCAUCGGAAUGGGAUUAAAGAUUUAUCGGUGAUGGAUGGGGAUGCGUCUGAUUAGCUUGUUGGCGGGGUGACGGCCCACCAAGGCAACGAUCAGUAGGGGUUCUGAGAGGAAGGUCCCCCACAUUGGAACUGAGACACGGUCCAAACUCCUACGGGAGGCAGCAGUGAGGAAUAUUGGUCAAUGGGCGAGAGCCUGAACCAGCCAAGUAGCGUGCAGGAAGACGGCCCUAUGGGUUGUAAACUGCUUUUAUAAGGGAAUAAAGUGGGUCACGUGUGACUUUUUGCAUGUACCUUAUGAAUAAGGACCGGCUAAUUCCGUG